CGCUAAGAAGCUAAACAGGGUCUAAGCAUUAGCCUUUUAAGCUAAAAAAUGGUGCUUCCCAACCACCCCUAGCGA
RNAcentral lists this transfer RNA (75 nucleotides) under Nothobranchius thierryi (Togo killifish). RNAcentral's name for it is "tRNA-Lys". It matches the Rfam family "tRNA". Rfam says of the family: Transfer RNA (tRNA) molecules are approximately 80 nucleotides in length. Their secondary structure includes four short double-helical elements and three loops (D, anti-codon, and T loops). Lineage: Eukaryota; Metazoa; Chordata; Actinopteri; Cyprinodontiformes; Nothobranchiidae. The record is from RNAcentral.